CCUACGGGUGGCAGCAGUGGGGAAUAUUGGACAAUGGGGGGAACCCUGAUCCAGCCAUGCCGCGUGUGUGAAGAAGGCCCUCGGGUUGUAAAGCACUUUCAGUGAGGAAGAACGCCUGGUGGUUAAUACCCAUCAGGAAAGACAUCACUCACAGAAGAAGCACCGGCUAACUCCGUGCCAGCAGCCGCGGUAAUACGGAGGGUGCGAGCAUUAAUCGGAAUUACUGGGCGUAAAGCGCGCGUAGGUGGCUUGAUAAGCCGGUUGUGAAAGCCCCGGGCUCAACCUGGGAACGGCAUCCGGAACUGUCAAGCUAGAGUGCAGGAGAGGAAGGUAGAAUUCCCGGUGUAGCGGUGAAAUGCGUAGAGAUCGGGAGGAAUACCAGUGGCGAAGGCGGCCUUCUGGACUGACACUGACACUGAGGUGCGAAAGCGUGGGUAGCAAACAGGAUUAGAUACCCUUGUAGUC
Molecule: ribosomal RNA, 465 nt
Filed under: Vreelandella stevensii
Lineage: Bacteria; Pseudomonadati; Pseudomonadota; Gammaproteobacteria; Oceanospirillales; Halomonadaceae
Description: partial 16S ribosomal RNA
Rfam family: Bacterial small subunit ribosomal RNA
Source: RNAcentral